Misgurnus anguillicaudatus (oriental weatherfish) is the source of this 350-nucleotide non-coding RNA. Lineage: Eukaryota; Metazoa; Chordata; Actinopteri; Cypriniformes; Cobitidae. The record is from RefSeq and is a predicted model, not a curated record.
CAUUGAAAGGAUGGAUUAGCUGGCAAAGAGCAAGGAGGGAUUGUGUCAGACAGGCAGCGUCAGGGUAGGAUCCACAUACUGGUGUGCUGCAUGAGUGGAAGUCUAUGUUGAAGAAGCGCGUCAGGCAAGUGGAGAAGGAGAGACAUGCGCCCCCUCUGGAUGACAAGGGGAACAUUUUGUUUACAGCUUUGCCCAAUGUUUUGUAGUUCUGCUCAAAAUGGCGCUUUCGCCGAGCUUCUGACUGCCUAAAGCGUACCCACUUCAUUAUCUUGUAUUGUUUAUCAUGACUCAAAAGGCUUGUGAAGGGAGGACAACAAGAAGAAAAACAAAUAAAUAUAGUAUAUAUUUCG